CAAACUAGCAUGUUUAUAUCCAAACAGAAACUUUUCCAUUCAACAGGCAAUCUCUCUUUCUGUGUCUGUCUCUGACUCGGAGCGCCUCGCGUCAGGGACAGCAGGGUCGUGGCGCCCAUCUCGAGACAUAGACGUCCUCCGCGUACACACACUCGCGUACUCUGCUUCUCUUCUUCUCUCCUGUGCCACAACCAUCGUCGUCCCCGGUCUCCUUU
This is a non-coding RNA of Caenorhabditis elegans, 215 nucleotides long. Lineage: Eukaryota; Metazoa; Nematoda; Chromadorea; Rhabditida; Rhabditidae. The record is from Ensembl.